RNAcentral lists this ribosomal RNA (492 nucleotides) under Pochazia guttifera. RNAcentral describes it as "partial 16S ribosomal RNA". Lineage: Eukaryota; Metazoa; Arthropoda; Insecta; Hemiptera; Ricaniidae. The record is from RNAcentral.
AAGUCCCUGAGUUUUUUUUUAAGGUUUGGCCUGCUCAAAGUUUAUAAUAAAUAGCCGCCGUAUUUUAACUGUGGUAAGGUAGCAUAGUAAUUAGUUUUUUAAUUGAGGUUUGGUAUGAAAGGUUGGGCGAGAAAUUAUCUUUUUUUAUUUAAAUUAUUUGAAAUUUCCUUUUAAGUUAAAAAUUUUAAAAUUUUAAGAGGGACGAUAAGGCCCCAUAGAUCUUUAAAAUUUUAAAAUUUAUCAUUUUUUUGUUGUUUUUUUUUUUAAUUUUUAUUUUUUUUUAGUUGGGGGGACUAGUAAAAUUUUAAACUUUAUUUUUUUUUUACAGUUUUUUCUGUUUUUUUUGAUCCUUUUUUUUUGAUUAUAAGAUUUAGAUACCUUAGGGAUAACAGCGUAAUUUAUUUGGAGAGUUCUUAUCGAUAAAUGAGUUUGCGACCUCGAUGUUGGAUUAAAUUUUGUUUGUGGGGUAGGUUUACAAAACUAGGUCUUCGA